Molecule: regulatory RNA element, 56 nt
Organism: Abiotrophia defectiva ATCC 49176
Lineage: Bacteria; Bacillati; Bacillota; Bacilli; Lactobacillales; Aerococcaceae
Rfam family: Ribosomal protein L13 leader
About the family: This family is a putative r-protein leader autoregulatory structure found in B. subtilis and other low-GC Gram-positive bacteria. It is located in the 5' untranslated regions of mRNAs encoding the L13-S9 (rplM-rpsI) ribosomal protein operon.
Source: Rfam
GGUAUUGUUUGCCCCACUAUGAGCCCCGGAAACUCAAUAGUAAUGUCAAACAACUA